Carya illinoinensis is the source of this 105-nucleotide small nucleolar RNA. The record is from RefSeq and is a predicted model, not a curated record. Lineage: Eukaryota; Viridiplantae; Streptophyta; Magnoliopsida; Fagales; Juglandaceae.
AAUCUGUGUUGAGGAUAACGUCGAAUCAAAUUUUUAUACCUUUCCCAAGCUUCAUAGAAUGAUUCGAAAUCAUUUUACUUGAAUUGACUAAUCUCAUUCCAGAGU